RNAcentral lists this small RNA (24 nucleotides) under Brassica napus (rape). RNAcentral's name for it is "PsRNA_48". Lineage: Eukaryota; Viridiplantae; Streptophyta; Magnoliopsida; Brassicales; Brassicaceae. The record is from RNAcentral.
CUUUUCAUUGGUUGUUCUAUUCCG